GGGUUGGUAGCUCAGUGGUAGAGCAGUUGGCUUUUAACCGAUCAGUCGAGGGUUCGAACCCCUCCUAACCCA
RNAcentral lists this transfer RNA (72 nucleotides) under Dinophyceae sp. MGD. RNAcentral describes it as "tRNA-Lys". It matches the Rfam family "tRNA". From Rfam's summary of the family: Transfer RNA (tRNA) molecules are approximately 80 nucleotides in length. Their secondary structure includes four short double-helical elements and three loops (D, anti-codon, and T loops). The record is from RNAcentral. Lineage: Eukaryota; Dinophyceae.